RNAcentral lists this ribosomal RNA (449 nucleotides) under uncultured bacterium. Its description in RNAcentral is "SSU rRNA". It matches the Rfam family "Bacterial small subunit ribosomal RNA", at positions 26 to 518 of the family's 1533-position model. The record is from RNAcentral.
AGAGCGAACGCUGGCGGCAGGCCUAACACAUGCAAGUCGAGCGGCCGUAGCAAUACGGCAGCGGCAGACGGGAGAGUAACACGUGGGAACGUGCCCUAUGGUUCGGAAUAACGCAGGGAAACUUGCGCUAAUACCGAAUAAGCCCUUACGGGGAAAGAUUUAUCGCCAUUGGAGCGGCCCGCGUCUGAUUAGCUAGUUGGUGAGGUAACGGCUCACCAAGGCUACGAUCAGUAGCUGGUCUGAGAGGAUGAUCAGCCUCACUGGGACUGAGACACGGCCCAGACUCCUACGGGAGGCAGCAGUGGGGAAUAUUGGACAAUGGGCGCAAGCCUGAUCCAGCCAUGCCGCGUGGAUGAUGAAGGCCUUAGGGUUGUAAAGUCCUUUUAAACGGGAAGAUAAUGACGGUACCCGUAGAAUAAGCCCCGGCUAAACUUCGUGCCAGCAGCCGC